This is a non-coding RNA of Mycena rebaudengoi, 94 nucleotides long. The record is from the annotation of a GenBank genome assembly. NCBI's taxonomy places the organism in Eukaryota, Fungi, Basidiomycota, Agaricomycetes, Agaricales, Mycenaceae.
GACCUGAUAGGGAAGCGGUAUCACGCUCACAGCAAGUGGAGCGUUUUCCGUGCUGCAUCUAUGGAAGGCCCCGGUUCAAAGCCGGGUCAGGUCG